RNAcentral lists this ribosomal RNA (330 nucleotides) under Triticum aestivum (bread wheat). RNAcentral describes it as "partial small subunit ribosomal RNA". The record is from RNAcentral. Lineage: Eukaryota; Viridiplantae; Streptophyta; Magnoliopsida; Poales; Poaceae.
AUGUGUAUGUUGAGAUGGAUGUGUGGCCACGCGAGGAAGGAUCGAGUCCGGAAUGAUGAUAUACGAGAUAGAGUUGGGGUAGCACCAAUUGAAGAGAAGCUUGUCCAACAUCGUCUGAGAUGGUUUGGGCAUAUUCAGCGCAGGCCUCCAGAAGCUCCGGUGCAUAGUGGAUGGCUAAAGCGUGCGGAGAAUGUCAAGAGAGGGCGGGGUAGACCGAAUUUGACAUGGGAGGAGUCCGUUAAGAGAGACCUGAAGGAUUGUAGUAUCACCAAAGAGCUAGCUAUGGACAGGGGUGCGUGGAAGCUUGCUAUCCAUGGGCCAGAGCCAUGA